AUUUAGCAAAACGAAACCACGGUUUGCCAGUGUCUUAAGGGCAGGCACUGGAGAUAAGGUGCCCCUGUCCUGGUGGAACCCACAGGUCAGUGGGCGGGGCCUUGGGGCGGAGCCAUGGAAGCUGCGAGGAAGGCGUGGGCAGAGUCCGGAGGGAACAGGAAGACCACUGCUAACCCUUAGGAGCCAAACCACGAGAACAGCAUGAGACAGAUAUUCUCUGCGUGUGACCAGACGCUGCACCCGACAGGCCUGUCCCCUCCCCUUGCCUGUAUCCAGGGCAUCGGCCUGUUUCACAUGGAAACCUCCUAACUCUGCCCUGCUUGCCCUGUGGCCUUGCCAAGGCUGCAACUGGAGCCAGCUCUUUGGAAGGACACAGACACGGGUCAUUUCUACGAGCUAAUGAAUUCUUUAAAUCCUUGGGACUUACUGGCCCUGGGCGGAGUGCUUUGAUUGCUUCUUUCAGAGGAACUGGGCCUAGAAAGAUAAAUACCCGUGGAGGGCUAGGACCCUGCGGGGCUAGGGCCACAGAGAGCUAGGGAUGUAGGUCGGGGAGAAGAGCGGCCACCUGGCAGGCAGGAAGCACUGGGUUCGAUCCUAGCCCUGCACAAACGGGCCCAAGUCUGUCAUUUGUAUACUUGAGCUCCACCUGGACUACACAAGAGCCUUUCUUAUUUAUUUAUUUAUUUAUUUAUUUAUUUAUUUAUUGGUUGGUUGGUUGGUUGGUUUUUCGAGACAGGGUUUCUCCGUAUAGUUCUAGCUGUCCCGGAAUUCACUCUGUAGACCAGGCUGGCCUCGAACUCAAAAAUCUGCCUGCCUCUGCCUCCCAAGUGCUGGGAUUAAAGGCAUGCGCCACCACUGCCCAACUCACAAGAGCUUUUUUUGUUUUUUGUUUUGUUUUUGUUUUUGUUUUGCUGUUUUCAGAGACGGGGGUUUCUCUGUAUAGCCCUGGCUGUCCUGGAACUCACUCUGUAGACCAGGCUGGCCUCGAAAUCAGAAAACCGCCCGGCUCUGCCUACCAAGUGCCCGGAUUAAAGGUUUGUGCCACCACCGCCCAACCACAAGAGCCUUUCUUAAACAAACAAACAAACAAACAAAUAAUAAUUGCUAUGAAAAAGUGUCUUGGUGAGCCUGAGGCUGUUCUGUCGCACUUACAACACUGGGGCUUCUGUAUGCGUCACUACGAGGGUCCUUGACUGGGACCUAGGGCUUUCUACUGUGAGUGCUUGGUGUCAGUUCCUGGUCUGCCAGGGGGAACUCUUAAAAAGCUGCCAAAUACAAAUGAGGCGAAGCCCUGCCCCCAGCAGACAGAGCCCUUCCUUCUCAACCACUUCAGCUUACCCACUUUACUUCAGCUUACCCAGCUUACUCCCUUUCCGGUUUGCCUCUAGGCGGAUGCCUAGCAGAAUAAGUGAGAACGCCUCACAAGGAAAGCCAGCUAUCGCUGUUGCGGACUCUGAGCCUCUAGGUUGGCCACACUUUGAAAGUGUAACCCAGUCAGGCUUGGUUUGGGUUAAAAACCAAGAAACUUGAGUGUUGAGGUGAAACCCAAGCGGUGGCCUUUGACAACCUAGGCUCAACCAUGAUGCUCUUACAGAACGCCCCCUUUAACAACCUAGGCUCAAACCAUGAUGCUCUUACAGAACGCCCGGGUCAGAGCCGUCCCCAGCCCCUCCCUGCGGUCUCCAAGAACGGUGCCCUCCCGUUUGGUGUGGCUCCAUUGAGCAGGCUCCUCACUGACUCCCAUUAGCCAUUGGUCUGCCACAGAUGGCUUGGCCACUCCAUCCUCAACUUGUCACUUGGAGUUUCCCCCCUCCCCCCGAAGUUACUUAACAGCCAGCCACGUCCCACCGUCUCAGGGCAGUGACCCUGGUCUCAGGGUCGCCCUUUCUUGUCUGCACCACCAGCCCUAAUCUCAAGAUCCCACCCAGCCUUAUGCGAAGAGGUUCCUUGUCCACACAGCCUCCAAGAUGGUCCAUCUUGGUCAUCCCACGGUCCUUCCAGAACUGUUGAGCAGUUUCCAUUGCUCUUGGGAUAGAAUGGGUAUUGUACUGGCUGGUUUUGUGUGUCAAUUUGACACAGGCUGGAGUUGUCAGAGAGAAAGGAGUUUCCGUUGGGGAAGAGCCUCCACGAGAUCCAGCUGUGAGGCAUUUUCUCAAUUACUGAUCAAGGGGGGAGGGCCCCUUGUGGGUGGUGCCAUCCCUGGGCUGGUAGUCCUGAGUUCUAUAGGAAAGCAAGCUGAGCAAGCCAGGGGAAGCAAGCCAGUAAGGAACAUCCCUCCAUGGCCUCUGCAUCAGCUCCUGCUUCCUGACCUGCUUGAGUUCCAGUCCUGACUUCCUUUGGUGAUGAACAGCAGUGUGGAAGUGUAAUCUGAAUAAACCCUUUC
This is a long non-coding RNA of Apodemus sylvaticus (European woodmouse), 2383 nucleotides long. RefSeq lists it as uncharacterized. The record is from RefSeq and is a predicted model, not a curated record. Lineage: Eukaryota; Metazoa; Chordata; Mammalia; Rodentia; Muridae. The transcript is spliced from 3 exons.